This 306-nucleotide unclassified non-coding RNA is filed under the name uncultured Funneliformis. Its description in RNAcentral is "sequence contains ITS2". The stretch from base 1 to 52 matches the Rfam family "5.8S ribosomal RNA", at positions 103 to 154 of the family's 154-position model. Lineage: Eukaryota; Fungi; Glomeromycota; Glomeromycetes; Glomerales; Glomeraceae. The record is from RNAcentral.
AACGCAAAUUGCACUCUCUGGUAUUCCGGGGAGUAUGCCUGUUUGAGGGUCGUUAGAAAAAAAAUCGAAGCGUCGCUCUUUGUGAUUGCGUCGGAAUUGAGCCGUCUUUUUCAUGUUAAUUCAUAUAAAAGUGGCUUAAAAUUCAUCAAUCUGGUACGAUUUAAAGCGUAUUUAAGAUCAGUCUUGAUUAAGAACGCGCGAUGACGUACCAUCUCAUGUAGUACGUUCGACCUGCAUGUCAGGCUCAUUCGUAUACGACAUUUAACUUUUGACCUCAAAUCAGGUAAGAAUACCCGCUGAACUUAA